Sesamum indicum (sesame) is the source of this 1384-nucleotide non-coding RNA. The record is from RefSeq and is a predicted model, not a curated record. NCBI's taxonomy places the organism in Eukaryota, Viridiplantae, Streptophyta, Magnoliopsida, Lamiales, Pedaliaceae.
UAGUUCUACGAUCUUGAAGAAGAGGGGUUGAUUCUUGUUUACUUCUUCAUCUUUUCUGUUUGGGUCCUUCUUCUUUACGACUUUGACGGCAAAGAUGCUAGUGAUGUUUUCAUCGGCUACUUCAUUAUCGUAUUGUCCUUUUCUUUUACUGUUUUGAUGGCCUCAAUUGGGGUUUUAUGAUCUUGUUUCGGUGAAAUUUUUUUGUGUUCUUGUUGGUUAUUAUAUAUGUUGAUGCUUCUUGGAGUAUGUGUUUUUACGUAGGCGCACUGCAAUCUCCUUCUCUGUACUAGAUCUUGGAAAGGCAAGAACAAUAUGGUUUCUUGCAUUUUCUUGGAAAGCCUUAUUAUUGUUUAUGUGAUGAUAGAAUUAUUACCGCGAUCGUAGUUUUGUUCUUUGAAAUUUGUAUAUGCGUUUCAGGGUUUUAAUCUGCGUCCUCCUUUAUUGCCAAUCCUGACAGGAUUAGGAAGGAAUUUGAAAUUCUUGAAGAUGUUCACGGUUCGCUGUUCGCACUAUGUAUCAGUAGACUUAACUCGUCUCCAGAAUUGCUGGAACCUAUUGCUGCCAUCAAUUCUAGAACUGACCGACGCCUCACCUGCAAAGGUACCUACGUAGUGUAGGUUCAAUCGCACACUGAAGACAACAUUCACUUAUGUGCCUUUCCUGAACCAGAAGUCUUCAAAAUUGAAACCGGCUCCGAAAGCUUACUAGAUGGCCCUGAUGCAAUACACAUUCAUCUUGUGACUCUGCUGUAAGUGUUGCCAUCUGUUGGAACCAGUAGUCCAACUGUGGGACGAGUUGAUCAGAACUGGUAAAUAUGUUUUUUGUGCUUCUGACAACUCUCUAAUGCAGUUGAAGCCUGUUACAAAGUCAAUUUGAUGGUCAUUUCACAGUAUGAAAGCCUUCUUAUUCACUAUUAUAUCGAUCAAAUAGGGAUGAAUUGAAAUAGUGCUACCUCAACUUUAUUGCAUUUUCUGGUUUUGUGGCUGGAUUAGCUCAAGUCUUAUGCUCAUUUCUAGUCGCUUUUCCCGAUUUUUGAGGUCUUUGAUGCUCAAUCCAGAAAGUUCUUCUCCCAAAAGCUGCCUGCAAUUAUCACAGAAGAGGAUUGUGGUUUAUUCUGUACGUAUCCUUUUACUGGUUUGAUUUAUGAAUGUAGGAUGAGCUAUACUUCUGAUUGAACGCAUCUUUCGUUGUUUUAAAUAGAAGUUUCUGAAUCUAAGUAUUUUUGUAUGGUUAGAUGUUUCUUGGCUUUUGAACUAGCUCAUGAUCAAUCAUCUCUCCUUUUUCUCUAGUUAGGCCAUCCAAUAAUGAAUUGAUCUUUCAGUAAUGUAGAGAAAUUGAAUCUAAUUCCUCUAGUUAGGCCAACUUGUGGCUUUGCUGCAAAUAC